Molecule: long non-coding RNA, 2086 nt
Filed under: Gadus morhua (Atlantic cod)
Lineage: Eukaryota; Metazoa; Chordata; Actinopteri; Gadiformes; Gadidae
Description: lncRNA (ENSGMOG00000024773.1)
Source: RNAcentral
GGAUUCUAACUGGCUUGCAUGGCUUUAUCCUUCUCCCUACACUUUCCUCCCAUAGGUUUGGCAUAGUUAUAAUGGUGCUCGACGGCAUAUUUAUGCGUUUUGAUGUAAAUGAGAACUUUUUUGAAAACGAUGUUGUGUGCACAAUGUUAUUUUUGAAAACGGAGAGGGGGAAAUAUUUGUUUCUAUAAAUACCCUGCUAUGUAUUGUGGCAUCCCGCCACGUGGUCCUCGGCCUGGACGGGCCCGGGGUACCGUGGAGGACUGGAUAUACCACCCCCACCCACCAGCCGGCGACGGAGAGCAGCCCUUUUGGCUCCCCAAUCAGGGUGAUUGGGGGACACCUGGCCGAAAGCACGGGAGCCAUCUUAAGAGGAGGACCAGCACAGCACAGCACGGGUCGGGAGCAGGAAGGAAGGGCUCGUGGCAGCGAGAGAGCCUAGAGGCCCACGGAGGCCCUAGAGACCACGUCUCCUUCAUUGUUUGAUUGUUUCAGUUGACUGUUAAAUAAAUCCCUGAAAUGGCUAAAACCCCAAGGCCAAGCGAGUUUUGUACGUGGAUUCCGGCUCAACCGAGCACCGGGAUACCACACUUGGUGGAGAAUGCAGGCAAAACGAAGGUCCCACUACGGCUCCCCGGUACAGACGCCGCCGCCGCAAGGGACGCCGCCGCCGCCGCAAGGGACGCCGCCGCCGCCGCAAGGGACGCCGCCGCAGCCGCAAGGGACGUCGCCGCUGCCGCCAGAGACGUCGCCGCUGCCGCAAGAGACGUCGCCGCUGCCGCAAGAGACGUCGCCGCUGCCACAAGAGACGUCGCCGCUGCCGCAAGGGACGCUGCCGCCGCCGAAAGGGACGCCGCCGCCGCCGCAAGGGACGCCGCCGCCGCCGCCGGCGCAAGGGACGCCGCCGCCGCCGCAGCGCGAGACGAGGCCGCAGCGCGAGACCGGGGCGUGACAGUGCCGUCGACCUACGCGGACGUGGGGACGGGCCGGCCCUGCAUGCUGGCGACAUGUUGGGCAAAGGAAGCGUCCGGGUGCCCAACCGUACCUGCGAGAGUGAUGUCCAAACAGACGCAGGCCAUAGUGGACACUGGCAGCAUGGUCACCCUCCUCCGGCCCGACCUGGCGGGGGGAAGGGAAGGGUCACCAAUGGAGGUGACAUGCGUACACGGGGACACACGAACAUACAAGACCUGCCACGUGGUCGUCCGGACACCACAGGGGGUGUUCACGGCUAGGGCAGGGGUCGUGCCACACCUCCCGGUGCCAUUCCUAAUUGGGAGGGACUGCCCGAUUCUCCGUCGGCUUUGGGACCCGGCGCUGGAGUCCCGGGUCCGGAGAGAUGCGGCCGCCGCCGCGGCAGGAGGUGCGGCCGCCGCCGCGGCAGGAGGUGCCGUCGCCGCCGCGGCAGGAGGUGCGGUCGCCGCCGCGGCAGGAGGUGCGGCCGCCGCCGCCGCCGCGGCGAGAGAUGCGGCUGCCGUCGCGGCAAGGGAUGCGGCCGGCGCCGCUGCGAGAGGUGCGGCCGCCGCUGCCGCGAGGGACGCAGCCGGCGCCGCAGGAGACACCCGGCCCCGGCGAGAUACCAUCCUGGGCGGGCCCCUCGGCUACCUGGGGCUUGGACAAAGGGUGGAGGAGUGUGGCAUCCCGCCACGUGGUCCUCGGCCUGGACGGGCCCGGGGUACCGUGGAGGACUGGAUAUACCACCCCCACCCACCAGCCGGCGACGGAGAGCAGCCCUUUUGGCUCCCCAAUCAGGGUGAUUGGGGGACACCUGGCCGAAAGCACGGGAGCCAUCUUAAGAGGAGGACCAGCACAGCACAGCACGGGUCGGGAGCAGGAAGGAAGGGCUCGUGGCAGCGAGAGAGCCUAGAGGCCCACGGAGGCCCUAGAGACCACGUCUCCUUCAUUGUUUGAUUGUUUCAGUUGACUGUUAAAUAAAUCCCUGAAAUGGCUAAAACCCCAAGGCCAAGCGAGUUUUGUACGUGGAUUCCGGCUCAACCGAGCACCGGGAUACCACAGUAUAGACGUGGACUUAGACUCAAAGCCUGUUUUCUGGAAGGGACCCCUGAUCUCAGAGUAGAGGCCUACUACA